CGAAAGCCUGACGGAGCAACGCCGCGUGAGGGACGAAGGCCUCUGGGCUGUAAACCUCUUUUCUCAAGGAAGAAGAUAUGACGGUACUUGAGGAAUAAGCCACGGCUAAUUCCGUGCCAGCAGCCGCGGUAAUACGGGAGUGGCAAGCGUUAUCCGGAAUUAUUGGGCGUAAAGCGUCCGCAGGCGGCUUUUCAAGUCUGCUGUUAAAGCGUGGAGCUUAACUCCAUCAUGGCAGUGGAAACUGAAAGGCUUGAGUAUGGUAGGGGCAGAGGGAAUUCCCGGUGUAGCGGUGAAAUGCGUAGAUAUCGGGAAGAACACCAGUGGCGAAGGCGCUCUGCUGGGCCAUUACUGACGCUCAUGGACGAAAGCCAGGGGAGCG
This 379-nucleotide ribosomal RNA is filed under the name uncultured cyanobacterium. RNAcentral's name for it is "bacterial SSU rRNA". It matches the Rfam family "Bacterial small subunit ribosomal RNA", at positions 376 to 770 of the family's 1533-position model. The record is from RNAcentral. Lineage: Bacteria; Bacillati; Cyanobacteriota.